Molecule: ribosomal RNA, 376 nt
Filed under: uncultured bacterium
Lineage: Bacteria
Description: bacterial SSU rRNA
Rfam family: Bacterial small subunit ribosomal RNA
Source: RNAcentral
UACGUAGGGGGCAAGCGUUGUCCGGAAUUACUGGGCGUAAAGCGCGCGUAGGCGGAUAAUUAAGUCAGAUGUGAAAACUCUGGGCUCAACCGAGAGCAUGCAUCUGAUACUGGUUAUCUUGAGUGCAGGAGAGGAGAGUGGAAUUCCUAGUGUAGCGGUGAAAUGCGUAGAUAUUAGGAGGAACACCAGUGGCGAAGGCGACUCUCUGGCCUGCAACUGACGCUGAGGCGCGAAAGCGUGGGGAGCGAACAGGAUUAGAUACCCUGGUAGUCCACGCCGUAAACGAUGGGUACUAGGUGUUGGGGGUUUCGAUGCCCUCAGUGCCGGAGUAAACACAUUAAGUACCCCGCCUGGGGAGUACGGUCGCAAGACUGAA